This 496-nucleotide ribosomal RNA is filed under the name Maladera sp. LW1201. Its description in RNAcentral is "partial 16S large subunit ribosomal RNA". It matches the Rfam family "Bacterial large subunit ribosomal RNA", at positions 1845 to 2600 of the family's 2925-position model. Lineage: Eukaryota; Metazoa; Arthropoda; Insecta; Coleoptera; Scarabaeidae. The record is from RNAcentral.
UUAAAGUCUAAUCUGCCCUAUGAGGUAUUAAAUGGCCGCGGUACUUUGACCGUGCAAAGGUAGCAUAAUAAUUAGUUUUUUAAUUGAAAGCUGGAAUGAAUGAUUGGACGAGAAAAUAACUGUCUCAAUUUAAUUUUUUUUAAAAUUUUAUUUUUAAGUAAGAAAGCUUAAAUAUUAUUAAAAGACGAGAAGACCCUAUAGAGUUUUAUAAUUAAUUUUAUAUUAAUUUUUAAGAAUUAUUUUAUUAAUAUUAAAUUAAUUAUUUUGUUGGGGCGAUAGAAAAAUAUUAUUAACUUUUUUUACUAUUAGUUCAUUAAUUUAUGAAUGAAUGAUCCAUUUUUUAUGAUUAUAAGAAUAAGUUACCUUAGGGAUAACAGCGUUAUUUUUUUUUAGAGUUCUUAUCGAAAAAAAAGAUUGCGACCUCGAUGUUGGAUUAAAAUAUAUAUUUGGUGUAGAAGCUAAAUAAUUAGGUCUGUUCGACCUUUAAAAUUUUACA